GAGGGUAUAGUUCAGUGGUGGAGUGCAUGCUUCACAUGCAAAGGUCCUGGGUUCAAACCCCAGUAUCUCCA
Molecule: transfer RNA, 71 nt
Filed under: Camelus bactrianus (Bactrian camel)
Lineage: Eukaryota; Metazoa; Chordata; Mammalia; Artiodactyla; Camelidae
Also listed under: 1 other name
Rfam family: tRNA
About the family: Transfer RNA (tRNA) molecules are approximately 80 nucleotides in length.
Source: Rfam by way of RNAcentral